AGCUCCAAUAGCGUAUAUUAAAGUUGUUGCAGUUAAAAAGCUCGUAGUUGGACCUUGGGCCUGGACGGGCGGUCCGCCUCACGGCGUGUACUGUCUUGCCGGGCCUUUCCUCUUGGUGAUCUGUUGUUUCGGCAGCAGGGAACCAGGACCUUUACUUUGAAAAAAUUAGAGUGUUCAAAGCAGGCUCGACGCCGGAAUAUAUUAGCAUGGAAUAAUAAAAUAGGACGUGCGGUUCUAUUUUGUUGGUUUUUGGAAUCGCCGUAAUGAUUAAUAGGGACAGUCGGGGGCAUUAGUACUCACAUGCUAGAGGUGAAAUUCUUGGAUUUUGUGAAGACUAACUUCUGCGAAAGCAUUUGCCAAGGAUGUUUUCA
This 371-nucleotide ribosomal RNA is filed under the name uncultured eukaryote. RNAcentral describes it as "SSU rRNA". It matches the Rfam family "Eukaryotic small subunit ribosomal RNA", at positions 587 to 972 of the family's 1831-position model. The record is from RNAcentral.